GUUAUUGUAGCUUACAACUAAAGCACGGCACUGAAAAUGCCGCGAUGGGUUAAUAAAAAUCCCCAAAAACA
Molecule: transfer RNA, 71 nt
Filed under: Sceloporus occidentalis
Lineage: Eukaryota; Metazoa; Chordata; Lepidosauria; Squamata; Phrynosomatidae
Description: tRNA-Phe
Rfam family: tRNA
About the family: Transfer RNA (tRNA) molecules are approximately 80 nucleotides in length.
Source: RNAcentral